UACGUAGGGGGCAAGCGUUAUCCGGAAUCAUUGGGCGUAAAGCGCGUGUAGGCGGUUCCGUAAGUCCGCUCUGAAAGCCCAGGGCUCAACCCUGGGAGGCGGGUGGAUACUACGGAACUGGAGUACGGAAGAGGAGAUUGGAAUUCCUGGUGUAGCGGUGAAAUGCGCAGAUAUCAGGAGGAACACCAACAGCGAAGGCAGAUCUCUGGGACGUUACUGACGCUGAGGCACGAAAGCGUGGGGAUCAAACAGG
Molecule: ribosomal RNA, 253 nt
Filed under: uncultured bacterium
Lineage: Bacteria
Description: partial 16S ribosomal RNA
Rfam family: Bacterial small subunit ribosomal RNA
Source: RNAcentral